RNAcentral lists this ribosomal RNA (633 nucleotides) under Streptomyces sp. RNAcentral's name for it is "bacterial SSU rRNA". It matches the Rfam family "Bacterial small subunit ribosomal RNA", at positions 83 to 729 of the family's 1533-position model. The record is from RNAcentral. Lineage: Bacteria; Bacillati; Actinomycetota; Actinomycetes; Kitasatosporales; Streptomycetaceae.
GGUGGUGGAUUAGUGGCGAACGGGUGAGUAACACGUGGGCAAUCUGCCCUUCACUCUGGGACAAGCCCUGGAAACGGGGUCUAAUACCGGAUACGACACACGGAGGCAUCUCCUGUGUGUGGAAAGCUCCGGCGGUGAAGGAUGAGCCCGCGGCCUAUCAGCUUGUUGGUGGGGUGAUGGCCUACCAAGGCGACGACGGGUAGCCGGCCUGAGAGGGCGACCGGCCACACUGGGACUGAGACACGGCCCAGACUCCUACGGGAGGCAGCAGUGGGGAAUAUUGCACAAUGGGCGAAAGCCUGAUGCAGCGACGCCGCGUGAGGGAUGACGGCCUUCGGGUUGUAAACCUCUUUCAGCAGGGAAGAAGCGAAAGUGACGGUACCUGCAGAAGAAGCGCCGGCUAACUACGUGCCAGCAGCCGCGGUAAUACGUAGGGCGCAAGCGUUGUCCGGAAUUAUUGGGCGUAAAGAGCUCGUAGGCGGCUUGUCACGUCGGUUGUGAAAGCCCGGGGCUUAACCCCGGGUCUGCAGUCGAUACGGGCAGGCUAGAGUUCGGUAGGGGAGAUCGGAAUUCCUGGUGUAGCGGUGAAAUGCGCAGAUAUCAGGAGGAACACCGGUGGCGAAGGCGGAUCUC